GACGAACGCUGGCGGCGUGCUUAACACAUGCAAGUCGAACGGAAAGGCCCUGCUUUUGUGGGGUGCUCGAGUGGCGGACGGGUGAGUAACACGUGAGUAACCUGCCCUUGACUUUGGGAUAACUUCAGGAAACUGGGGCUAAUAUCGGAUAGGAGCUCCUGCUGCAUGGUGGGGGUUGGAAAGUUUCGGCGGUUGGGGAUGGACUCGCGGCUUAUCAGCUUGUUGGUGGGGUAGUGGCCUACCAAGGCUGUGACGGGUAGGCGGCCUGAGAGGGUGACCGGCCACAUUGGGACUGAGAUACGGCCCAGAGUCGUACAGGGGGCAGCAGUGGGGAGUAUUGCACAAUGAGCGGAAGCCGGAUGCAGCAGCGCCGCGUGCGGAAUGACGGCCUUCGGGUUAUAAACCGCUUUCGCCUGUAACGAAGCGUGAGUGACGGUAAUGGGUAAAGAAGCACCGGCUAACUACGUG
Molecule: ribosomal RNA, 468 nt
Filed under: uncultured bacterium
Lineage: Bacteria
Description: partial 16S ribosomal RNA
Rfam family: Bacterial small subunit ribosomal RNA
Source: RNAcentral